AGAGUUUGAUCAUGGCUCAGGAUGAACGCUAGCUACAGGCUUAACACAUGCAAGUCGAGGGGAAACGACAUCGAAAGCUUGCUUUUGAUGGACGUCGGCCGGCGCACGGGUGAGUAACGCGUAUCCAACCUGCCCACCACUUGGGGAUAACCUUGCGAAAGUAAGACUAAUACCCAAUGAUAUCUCUAGAAGACAUCUGAAAGAGAUUAAAGAUUUAUCGGUGAUGGAUGGGGAUGCGUCUGAUUAGCUUGUUGGCGGGGUAACGGCCCACCAAGGCAACGAUCAGUAGGGGUUCUGAGGGGAAGGUCCCCCACAUUGGAACUGAGACACGGUCCAAACUCCUACGAGAGGCAGCA
This 356-nucleotide ribosomal RNA is filed under the name uncultured bacterium. RNAcentral's name for it is "bacterial SSU rRNA". It matches the Rfam family "Bacterial small subunit ribosomal RNA", at positions 8 to 353 of the family's 1533-position model. The record is from RNAcentral.